GCUCACCUGCCUGGCACGGCGGAAACAAGACCCCGGAAAGGGUCCGUAGGGUUGGCGAGAAAUGUGAGUGAUCUCCCCGUGUGUGACAGGGUCUCCCCAGAGGCAGGCAGGUGAGAGGGCUGCCCUGGGGGUAUAUAGUCCGAAUCCUGCGAUUAUCAUGUUUUAUUUUUGUAUUACAGUAAGCCAUAAAGACGGCUUUGAACAUUCUUUCUUCUGGAUCGGCGUGGCGCCCCCCAGUGUUCCUGUGUCGAUUCCCAACCGCGCUGUUCUAUGCUGUAGUCAUUGACCACGUUUGCUCAUCUUAAUUUGCGUUAACUGAAGUAUAAAUCCAGUUCCUCCGCUAUCACAGAACCUCGAAGGACACCCUGAUUAGGUGGCUGCUAAUAAAAUGAGAGGGAGGGGUUCAGAAGAUGCAGAGGGCAGGGACCAGGCCAGGUCCUGCUGCUGCAUGGCCAGGUGAGCUGUGGCUGCCAGCCUUGAAGUCUGUGGGCACCCCAAACUCUCCAGUCUGAAUUUGCAGGGCCUUGGUGUAUGUCUGCUAUAGAACCUGACACCUGACAUUUGAACGGAAGUGCUGGGCUCUGCUUGGCUGGCGGGAUGGACUAGUUCCUCCUGGCUAGGGGUUGUGGUGGUGCUUUCUCCCCUGGACUCCCAUGGGGAUGGGAGCUUCCACUCUUGGUUGCCUGCAGCGGAGAAUAAACCUAUGAAAGAGUGAUCAACAGGCCCAAGAAUGCUGUGGGGUUGCCAAGCCCUGUGCUUCAGUUCAGCUCCACCAUACAGCCCUUGACCAAAUGGAAGGCAGGACCAUGACGGGCCGGCUAACCCAACAAGUCCUGUCCCCUCCCUCCUCCACUCGGCCAGCCUGCCAGCCCCAGGGUCCAGCACCUCCUGCUUGGGGUAGGGCAGCAAUGGGUGUUACAGAACAGUGCGUGGGUGAAAGUUGUCUUCAAGCUCAGUACACACCACUCUAUCCAAUGUAAGAGUAUGAAGUUUACUGAUACGGUUUCAGAUUCACUCUGCAGCCAACUUUUAAGAAACUAUCCCUCAUUUAGUAUUAAAGACCAAGAUGUUAAAAUAUACUUUUUCCAACUGUGUGGCUAUGUGAGGCUAGAUUUUCUCAUAUGCUUCCACCAUUCUCACUGAUUCUUCUUUUUUUUAGGAAACUGUCAUUGUUUUCCAUUUUAUUUUUUUGUUUUUCAUUUUAAGAUGUUAAUAUGUGACAGGUGUAUCAGUUCAGUUCAGUCGCUCAGUCGUGUCCGACUCUUUGCGACCCCAUGAACCUCAGCACGCCAGGCCUCCCUAUCCAUCACCAACUGCCAGAGUCUAUCCAAACCCAUGUCCAUUGAGUCGGUGAUGCCAUCCAACCAUCUCAUCCAGGUCUUUAGUAUAGUUUCUAAAUUAAUUAGUUUUUUAAAUUUCUCGGUUUUAAUUCUCAGUGUGGUCCCCAUUGACUCAUAAAGCCCACAUAAACAGCUCUUUGUGGGAGGGGCCCUCUAAAUUUGUAAGGUUAUAAGAGUUCACUGAAGCCAAAAACUUGGGGAAGUUUUCUCAAAAUUCCUAGUGCAUCCAUGAAAUAGAUGAUUGGCACUUGAAGUGAUAUGUAUGAGGACAGGAAAGGUGCAGACGUCACUGUGGGCAUGUCUCAGAGGUCUGAGCUGGGAUUCCCUUCAACACUGCUGGCGGGGUAGUCCUCUCCAGGGUAAGGAGUUUAGGGGAUCAAGAUUUUUGUCUUCAUACUUUGCAGUGAUACAGGGAACAUUAUGUUUGUAACCAGAAAAAGACAUUGUCAUAAGAUAAUAUCUACUCUUAUUUUCCCCAAAGUGGACUUUGUGAAGAUUAAAAACAUGCUUUGCAAAAUCAUAAAUUACCACCUGUAUGUCAGGUUUUAUUGAAUAACAUGUAGGUUCUCACAGGGCAGGGGCUGGGUCUUCAAAUCCAUCACUGUUCUGAAGUCAGACACACACAAUAAACACGCACUUAACUCAUGUUGAAUAUACAAAUAAGUGCAUGGAUGUUUUAAAGUUACCAGUUACAUAAUUACAACUGCUGUCUGGUUGAAUUGUGUCCUCCACAGAUGUCUUGACAUCCCAGGUCUCAGGCCCUCAGAAUGUGAUCUCAUUUGAAACUAAGGUUGUUGCAAGUGUAAUUAGUUAAAUAAUGAGGUCAUGUUGAAAUCUGUGUGUGUGUGUUCCUGUCUCAGUUGUGUUUGACUCUUUGCCACUCCAUGGACUAUAGCCUGCCAGACUCCUUGGUCCAUGGGACUCUCUAGGCAAGAAUACUGGAGUGAGUUGCCAUGCCCUUCUCCAGGGGAUCUUCGUGACCCAGAGAUCAAGCCUGGGUCUGCUGCAUUAGCAAGCAGAUUCUUUACCGUCUGAGCCACCAGGCAAGCCCCCAUCUUGGAGUGGGGGCCCCUAAUUCAGACAGUGAUGUCCUGUAAGACAGACACCCAGGAAGAGGCAAAGACCUGAGUAAUGUAUCCAUAAGCCAAGGAUAGCCGGUGUCCAGCAGAGCCCCAGCUCAAGUUCCCUAUCCAUAGGGAGUCCCCGGCUCAUUAGAGCGCCAGCCACUCGCUGGGGGUGGAAAUCCAAACACUUCCUUCCCAGAGUUCGAGUCAUCACAGAGAGCUCAAGGCAGCUGGGCUUCACUAGGGAAAAAAGAGGCCAGGCCAGCUGUGCAGGGGAGUUGUCUGCAAGCUGGGUCCUGCCUGCCCGCCAGCCUGCAAGCACCCCUCUUGGACCUGUCCCCUUCCCAACAUGCUGAGUGCUGGGGACACAACCGUCUCACAGCAGGAGGGGCCCCCACACAGGCUCUGUGGGCCCCUGUCUGAUGACAAGUGGUCCAGGCCCAGGCCUGUUCUUCAGUAGCCCUGCGGGGGUUGGAGAGACUGCGUUUCCCAACAGCCAAGUCUGGGAGCCGGAGGCUGGCCUUGUCCUCUCUUUCCCUCCCCUCCCUGCCAGGCAACAACUGACUUCCACUGAGAGGAGACACUUCUGAGGCUUCAGGCCCCUGGUUGUGGCGCACUGAAGGCAUCCUAGAAGACUAACACAGCUGCGAAGAGCACAGUCACUUUUCCUCAGCAGGAAGAGAAGCAGCGUCUAGUUCGUGCACCUGUCCCAGGGACCAACUGCCAAGUUGUGAGGCUGCUCAGGCAGGCCGGUGGACAGUCUCAGUGAGGUGAGGUGGCCUCCCGCCAGCACCCAUGUGAGCCAGCUGACCUAGAAGUGGGUGCUCCUGCUGCAGGCAGCCUCCAGACAGCCAGGGCCUCCACCCUUGUCCUGACUGCAGCCUCCUGAGAGGCCCCACACCAGAAUGACCUGGCUCCUGAAUUCCUGACUUGACAAGAGACUGAGGGGAUGUUUCUUGUCCUCUGCCACUGCUUGGACUCAUUUGUUUCACAGCAAUAGAUUUCUGAUGUCUCCAUUUUACUGGAGGCUGUGUGUCCUGGAUUCCGACUUCCCCUACCUCUCCCUGGGCAGCGGAUGGAGGGGAAAUGGUCCCCACGUGAGGGCCAGAUGUGUCUGUGAACCAUAAGUUGCCCAGCAGGGCCCACAGAGCCACGGGGCACACCCUGGGAUUCCAGGACCACCCUCCCAGCCUGAGCAAGACCCACAGCCAUGGUGAGAAGGCAACUCCGAUCCCACGGUGGCAACCUAAGAGCCUGGCCCGCAGGAAGACUCAGCCCUGGGGGAGCCAGGGCAGCCUCCUCGCUCUGCCUCCACCAACUCCUGGGUCUCCAGAGGUGAAAGUUGGCGUGUGUGCUGUUUCUGUGCUUCUUUCUUAAAAUCGCCAUUGUCACAAGAACGACUCACAGU
Long non-coding RNA from Dama dama (fallow deer), 3812 nucleotides. RefSeq lists it as uncharacterized. The transcript has 5 exons. NCBI's taxonomy places the organism in Eukaryota, Metazoa, Chordata, Mammalia, Artiodactyla, Cervidae. The record is from RefSeq and is a predicted model, not a curated record.